CCAGUCCUACAACUCCAGACGCUGAAUCCUGCCAGCAGCCUGAAUGAACCUGGAGAUAGAGGCUUCCUCAGAGUCUUCAGGGAAUAAUAAUAGUGCCACAAGCACUUAGAAGGGAUUGCAGUAAGCCUUCACCAUUCUCUCUGCUUCUCCGGUCUCCUCUGCUCUCCAUCUAAUUUUAUCAAGUUAGAAGCAUGAAGUCAGCCAGAAGUGACUUGGAAGGUCUGCCUCACCCCAGACACCUGGGAGGAAAGAUCCAUAGACCACUGGUAGCAACCAAGGUCCUCCAAGCCCUGUGGGGUGUAUUUCUCCAAGCAGUGCCAGGCCA
Carlito syrichta (Philippine tarsier) is the source of this 325-nucleotide long non-coding RNA. RefSeq lists it as uncharacterized. The transcript is spliced from 3 exons. The record is from RefSeq and is a predicted model, not a curated record. NCBI's taxonomy places the organism in Eukaryota, Metazoa, Chordata, Mammalia, Primates, Tarsiidae.